UUGAAAUAGAAACAAUUCCCAGACAAGGCUGAUGGUAAAAAUGGAUGGCUAAGUCAAUCCAUUUUAAGCAUAUUAUCCGAGGAACUUGUUCUGUCCCACAACUUGGAGGGGGCCAAAACAAGAAGAAGCUCAAAGUCUACCCAAAUUUCGUCCGCGCCUUGUUAAAUUCAAUCGCUCGGAGCCCUCGGAGCCUCCCGAAAAGGCACUGCAAAAAGCAAUGAGGUGCGUGAAAAACCAGAUGCUGAAGAACCGACGACUCCGAUAACACCGGGAACCCCCGAACUGAAAUUU
This is a long non-coding RNA of Drosophila subpulchrella, 291 nucleotides long. RefSeq lists it as uncharacterized. The transcript is spliced from 3 exons. Lineage: Eukaryota; Metazoa; Arthropoda; Insecta; Diptera; Drosophilidae. The record is from RefSeq and is a predicted model, not a curated record.